RNAcentral lists this long non-coding RNA (1361 nucleotides) under Ursus maritimus (polar bear). RNAcentral describes it as "lncRNA (ENSUMAG00000011689.1)". The record is from RNAcentral. Lineage: Eukaryota; Metazoa; Chordata; Mammalia; Carnivora; Ursidae.
GUCCUUCCAGGCCGAGAAAAGUGACUUCUGUCUGGAGGGGGAGAGACAGGACCCUCACAUUUGGGGCCUGGAAGAAACCCUAAAGACCUAUGAACGAUCGUCUAGGGCCAAGGUCACAUUGUCAAGCGAAAGUGGAAGCGGAGGGGACCAGGAGACGUUCCCGAGGCCACAGAGCUAGUCAGAGGCCACCACGCUUUUCCAUUUCGAACAACCCUGACGGUUGUAAAUGGUGCUACGUGGCCUGACACAUGACAUGUGCCAAAUAAAUGUUUGCCUAACUGUCGGAGGGCGGCUCCGAGUCCCUCACCCUGCGCACCGCGGUGAACCUCGGCCCACUCUGAGCCAGCAGCAGGAGGCCCGAGAGACUGUUCUGGGCGUGGAAAGCCAACAUCGAGCUGUAUAUGGUAAAAAUGAUGCCUUUGUACCAACCCCCCUUCACGUCCUUUGGAUGUCUGUUGGCUUGAAUUGGAAGGGAUGUGAGAGGUCAUGAAGCCCAAGGUAGGUGACACCCAUGGCACCCCAGAGCUCUGCACCAGCCUCCCGAUUUUCCACCUGACGCACCUCGAACGGCUUCAAGAUGAUGGAUUCAUUUGGCAAAUAUUUUGAAAAGACAGUCGCCGCAUUGGAAUGUAAAUUGAUAGACUGCUUUUUAAAGCAAUUGGAAAACAUUUGCUGAGGCGAGCAAUGCCUGUGCUUCUGAUCAGGAGACCCAGGUUCGGGACCUGCUAAGAACAGAAUGGAUGAACAUCUGUGCACAAGCGUGUCCGUUAGCAUCUGCAGCACAAGGAAAAGCUAGGAAUGGGUGCCCGGCAGCUAGCAAAACCAUUCAGUCAAUUCUGGAAUGUGGAUCAGGGAGAAUUUGAGGCCGUUUUCAGAAGUGACUCUUUUUAUAAGCUCCAGCAAACAAACAAUGGUGGUUGGGCUGGACGGGAUUCUUUUUUCUUUCUAUUAAAAAAAAUAUAUAGUUCUCUACUAGGAGUACAUAUUUCUUUGAUUGUUCUUAAAACCUAUUUUAAAUGAGCCAUUAAUGGUUUUCAAAAUUAAUACACUUUCAUUAUAACAAAUCCAUACUCUGCAAGAAAAAAGGCUAAAUGCUGCUCAAAACUUAUAGAAGAAAAUUGAAAUAAUCUAAGAUCCUACCACCUGGAGAGAUUCACCUCUAACAUCUUGUUGUACAAUAACGAGACAGAUAAAAGAUGGACAGAUGGCUGGAUAGAUAGACAGACAGAUAUUACACACACACACACACACACACACACACACAAAUGCUGCUUUGCAAAUUGCUUCCUUCAUUCAUUAAUACGUCAUGGACAUCCUUCCAUAUCAAUAAAAGUCAAUUGACCUCACUCUUUUUUAAUGGU